Molecule: long non-coding RNA, 994 nt
Organism: Danio aesculapii
Lineage: Eukaryota; Metazoa; Chordata; Actinopteri; Cypriniformes; Danionidae
Exons: 4
Source: RefSeq, a predicted model, not a curated record
ACGGUUGAUAAAGAAGCUGAGCAAAGCACAAGCAACACAACACAACCAGACACGACGAGCUGAAAAGAGUAAGUCUGUACUAAGCGUAUACCACUAGUGAAUUUAAAACAGAACCACAGAGAGAAAGAACAAAUACAAAAUUAACUGAAACAGGAAAUCUUUGAACAUCUCAUCAGUGUCUCCUAAGAUGUCUUUAACACAAGAAUUUUUAAAAAUAUUUGGAAAUGGGAUCAGCAGAACUGCUGUUUUCACUUCUUUUCCUCUGAGCCUUUUGUCAGUACUAUUGGAAGGGCUGGUCGAUGCCCAUUUUUCAUGCCCAUGUGAGGCUGAUAAGAAUGCAGAAGUCUCAAAUUUCAUCUUCGCUGCACCUUUUUUUUUCUUUCUAGCUUUAAUGUGUUUACUUUUACAGCCAUUCAAACGUGAACCUAAAAGUAAAGAUGGUACAGGGUUCCUCAAGGACCAAGUAUCCAAACUUUUUUACUGUGUUUUUCCAUCUAUUAUAUGGAUUAUCGUUCUGCUUCUUGAUGGUGAUUAUAUUGCCUGUCGAGAGACAGACUGGAAUGGAGUGUAUGUUUCUGAUGAUGAGAUGUACAUAAAAUGGUGUAAACCAACUGAAUCAGAAAGAAGUGAUACUGAACUACGACAUAAGACUCGGGGCUUUUUUGCCAAGUCUCAGCGUGAUGGUUAUAUUGUGCUCCUUUCAUUUAGCCUCUUUAUAAUUAUUGCUAUAUGUGUCUAUGGCUGCUGCUGCAGUGAUAAAUCCAGCAAUGAAGAGAAUGACAGAAAUGUAACCGUGGAACAGAACCAACUGUUGGAACAGAACCAACAAAAUACUCAACCUAUAACACAGAACACCAGUUAAAAGGUGAAACAUUUCAGAAUAAUUGAAAGCAAUGAUAGCUUGUAUUACGCAUGUUUGUGUUUAGGUUCAUUGAUGAGUCAUUUUUACUUUUGUUUAUUUGAUGUUUUAUUUUUUUAUCUGUGUUUUAGCAUA